Lacerta agilis (Sand lizard) is the source of this 288-nucleotide long non-coding RNA. RefSeq lists it as uncharacterized. The transcript is spliced from 2 exons. Lineage: Eukaryota; Metazoa; Chordata; Lepidosauria; Squamata; Lacertidae. The record is from RefSeq and is a predicted model, not a curated record.
UGCCUGGCCCCCCAGGGCCCCCUAUAGUUGGCACCAGUGAGCUUGAGGGGGAGAGUAGAAGGAGAGACAACUGCAGGAAAAUCCCCAAAGCAUUUGGAGCUUACUACAGGAGCCAAGUCAGGUAUGUCAUGCUCCAUUACUGCUUCAGUAGAACAUCAAUAGAACACAACAGCAGAGAGAAUGCAAUGGAAAACAAGCUGAGAAUGUUCAAUAAACCCAUAGCCAUGCUCUAGGCUGUGGUCAAUAAAACUGGAUGGGAAGCUUUCCUAUUCUGCUUUUCUUUCCCUC